GAUGAACGCUGGCGGCGUGCCUAAUACAUGCAAGUCGAGCGAACAGACGAGGAGCUUGCUCCUCUGACGUUAGCGGCGGACGGGUGAGUAACACGUGGAUAACCUACCUAUAAGACUGGGAUAACUUCGGGAAACCGGAGCUAAUACCGGAUAAUAUAUUGAACCGCAUGGUUCAAUAGUGAAAGACGGUUUUGCUGUCACUUAUAGAUGGAUCCGCGCCGCAUUAGCUAGUUGGUAAGGUAACGGCUUACCAAGGCAACGAUGCGUAGCCGACCUGAGAGGGUGAUCGGCCACACUGGAACUGAGACACGGUCCAGACUCCUACGGGAGGCAGCAGUAGGGAAUCUUCCGAAAUGGGCGAAAGCCUGACGGAGCAACGCCGCGUGAGUGAUGAAGGUCUUCGGAUCGUAAAACUCUGUUAUUAGGGAAGAACAAAUGUGUAAGUAACUAUGCACGUCUGGACGGUACCUAAGCAGAAAGCCACGGCUAACUACGU
RNAcentral lists this ribosomal RNA (496 nucleotides) under uncultured bacterium. Its description in RNAcentral is "partial 16S ribosomal RNA". It matches the Rfam family "Bacterial small subunit ribosomal RNA", at positions 28 to 506 of the family's 1533-position model. The record is from RNAcentral.